AUGGCUUCAGGGCUAUGUGAGUUGUUAUGGCUUCGAUUAUUAUUAACUGAACUUCGGUUGUUUAAAGGAGGACCACUCAGGCUCCAUUGUGAUAAUCAAGCCGCAAUCAACAUUGUCAACAAUCCGGUUCAGCAUGAUAGAACAAAACAUAUCGAAAUUGAUAGACAUUUUAUUAAGGAGAAACUUGAUGAGGGAGUACUUCAAGUAGGUUUUGUUAAAACUGGAGACCAACUUGCUGAUGUAUUAACAAAGGGCGUGAGUGUUGUAUCCUUCUUUAAGUUGUGUGGCAAGAUGGGGCUCUUAGACAUUUUCACCCCAUCUUGA
Molecule: ribosomal RNA, 324 nt
Filed under: Triticum aestivum (bread wheat)
Lineage: Eukaryota; Viridiplantae; Streptophyta; Magnoliopsida; Poales; Poaceae
Description: partial small subunit ribosomal RNA
Source: RNAcentral